This 433-nucleotide ribosomal RNA is filed under the name uncultured bacterium. Its description in RNAcentral is "partial 16S ribosomal RNA". The stretch from base 53 to 433 matches the Rfam family "Bacterial small subunit ribosomal RNA", at positions 39 to 507 of the family's 1533-position model. The record is from RNAcentral.
GGGGGGGGGGGGGGGGGGGGGGGGGGGGGGGAGGGCGGGGGGGGCCGGGGGGGCGGGGGGCGGGCGGGUGGGUGACGGGGGGGGACGUGCACUGGGGUUGGGAUGACGUCCCGGAGAGGGGUGCGAAGACCGGAUAGUGUCUGGGCACCAAGGAGUUAUUGCGUUGGGGUGGGCCCGCGUUGGAUUAGCUAGUUGGGAGGGUAAAAGCCUACCAAGGCGCCGGGCGAUAGCUGGUCUGAGAGGAUGAUCAGCCACACUGGGACUGAGACACGGCCCAGCCUCCUACGGGAGGCAGCAGUGGGGAAUAUUGGACAAUGGGCGAAAGCCUGAUCCAGCAAUGCCGCGUGAGUGAUGAAGGCCUUAGGGUUGUAAAGCUCUUUUACCCGGGAUGAUAAUGACAGUACCGGGAGAAUAAGCUCCGGCUAACUCCGUG